Non-coding RNA from Ameiurus melas (black bullhead), 72 nucleotides. The record is from the annotation of a GenBank genome assembly. NCBI's taxonomy places the organism in Eukaryota, Metazoa, Chordata, Actinopteri, Siluriformes, Ictaluridae.
GGCUCGUUGGUUUGGGGGUUUGAUUCUCGCUUAGGGUCCGAGAGGUCCAAGGUUCAAAUCCCGGGCAAGCCC